This 34-nucleotide transfer RNA is filed under the name Quaqua mammillaris. RNAcentral's name for it is "partial tRNA-His". Lineage: Eukaryota; Viridiplantae; Streptophyta; Magnoliopsida; Gentianales; Apocynaceae. The record is from RNAcentral.
GAGAACAAGGGGGCGGAUGUAGCCAAGUGGAUCA